AUAGCCCGGCCCGCUUUGGCGGGUCGCCGGCUUCUUAGAGGGACUAUCGGCUCAAGCCGAUGGAAGUUUGAGGCAAUAACAGGUCUGUUAUGCCCUUAGAUGUUCUGGGCCGCACGCGCGCUACACUGACAGAGCCAACGAGUUCACUACCUUGGCCGGAAGGUCUGGGUAAUCUUGUUAAACUCUGUCGUGCUGGGGAUAGAGCAUUGCA
Molecule: ribosomal RNA, 211 nt
Filed under: Neoscytalidium dimidiatum
Lineage: Eukaryota; Fungi; Ascomycota; Dothideomycetes; Botryosphaeriales; Botryosphaeriaceae
Also listed under: 1 other name
Description: partial 18S ribosomal RNA
Rfam family: Eukaryotic small subunit ribosomal RNA
Source: RNAcentral